CCCAUCCUAGGUGUACAAAUAAAGACACACAGAAAGGUUAGGGGACCGGCUCAAGGAACAGGAUUUGAACCAGUGAUCUGGCUGCAGACCCCUACUCUCAGUCACCCCCCUCCAGCUUGUUCGUUUGUUGCUUGUUUUGAUGAAGAAACGGAGUCCUUAAAUGCCAUCCCCAUGCUCACAAUUUCGAAGGUACAUCGCCUGCCAGGAGUCUCACCUGAACUCAGGGUUGAAUAUCCAGCUGUGGCUCAACAUGCCUAAUGGGCAACUCCAGAGCUCCAGCCGCCUGGCCCAGAGUCAACCGUGGUUCCAUCAGCGGGAAGGUGAAAAUGAAACUGUGUUCCCAGCUCCGGAAAGCAAUCUGCGAUUCAGCAGGAAGAGAUCAAGGGUUAAUGACAUGGAGUUGGGCAAAGGCUGCCGCCGUGGCUCUGAGCAUUAUCAGGAGGCGGGAAACAAAGAAUGGUUGUUAAAUCGGUUUGUUACAAAAGUUAUUUCCUAAUGUAAUUCAUGAAACACUUGCCAGAACAUUAGGCACAUCCUUCGAAAGCACAAGGGAACUUAAAAAAGAAAGAAAGAAAAAAACAAAAAGAAAGAAAAAGUGGCUUCUAAAGUCAACGAUGGAACUCUUAGAAAGGGUUAAUGCCCUUCAUAUACAAAGAGUUCUUGCAAAACAAUAGGAAAAGGUACCUUAUUAUAAAUUGGCUAUUCAGAAAUGAAGAAGUACAAAAGGCAGGCAAACAUGAAGACAAGAUCCACCUUGUAAGCAUGAUUACAAGAUCCAGUAAUCAAGGAAAUGCAAAUAAAAGCUACAAUGACAUAUCAUUUCCCAACUAUCAGAUUGGCAGAGAAUGGCGGUGUGCGCCAUGAUGUUCAAUGGGCAGAAAUUUUAAAGCAACUCAGAAAUUUAACCUUGGGGCAUUUCUCCUAAGGAUAUAGCAGGCCAAGCAGUCUCUGUGGACAACCGUGUUCACUGAAGCGUUGUUUAUAAUAGUAAAACACUGGGAGGGGGAAACCCAAAGGCUAAGCUACAGAGGAUUCAUUAAAUAAACAAUGGCAAGCUUACAUGAUAAAAUACUAGAUUAAAAAUAGAUUGUAUUAAAUAAAUAUAAAACUUUUUAUCAAGUUGUAUUUAGAAAACUAAUUAAAAAUGGCAAUAUAGAGAGAUGUCAUGACACAC
Myotis brandtii (Brandt's bat) is the source of this 1174-nucleotide long non-coding RNA. RefSeq lists it as uncharacterized. The transcript is spliced from 3 exons. Lineage: Eukaryota; Metazoa; Chordata; Mammalia; Chiroptera; Vespertilionidae. The record is from RefSeq and is a predicted model, not a curated record.